Molecule: long non-coding RNA, 629 nt
Filed under: Astyanax mexicanus (Mexican tetra)
Lineage: Eukaryota; Metazoa; Chordata; Actinopteri; Characiformes; Acestrorhamphidae
Description: lncRNA (ENSAMXG00005024017.1)
Source: RNAcentral
AGGAAACGCCGAGCGGAGAGAUGGAGAGGCGGUGUGUGUGUUUGUGUAGCUGAAGUUAAUCAGUCCAUUGGUAUUUAGUUAACUACAUUUAGUAGCGCGGGUUUUAUUACAGAACUACAGCAAUAAUGGAGAGUUUCUAGAAGAGUCUGCCGGGGAAAGACGAACAGCGCUCACCUCCAGAGCGCGGCUUCUUCAUCACCAUGUCUGGAAACGUGGAUUUGAAGGAGAGGAGUGAGUCCAGCACACGCACAAAAGAGAGAAGACGAUCGAGGAGUAGAGGACGAGAUGAGAAGAAGCGAAAACGUAGCAGAAGCAGAUCAUCAUCUGCGAGUUCUUCUUCAUCUUCAUCCUCCUCCUCAUCGUCUUCACGGUCCUCUUCUAGCAGUGACUCAAGCAACAGUAGGAGUAGCUCCAGUAGCAACGAUUCUUACCAAAAGAAAAGAAAGGCCUCAAAGAAACGGAAAAAGGAGAGACCUGGCAAAAAGGUACUUUUUUCCCUUAUUCUGUUCUGGUCAACACCACCUAAUGCAACCAAGUAUUGCCUUCAGAAUUGUUAUAUAAUAGUAUUUCAAUUAAGUGUUUUUUUUUUUCGGUUGGUGAUGAAGCCUACAAAAUCUCCAGAUAGAUAG